GCUGGCGGCGUGCCUAACACAUGCAAGUCGAACGAGAAAGUGGAGCAAUCCAUGAGUAAAGUGGCGACCGGGUGAGUAACACGUGACUAACCUACCCUACAGUGGGGGAUAACUCCGGGAAACCGGGGCUAAUACCGCAUAACAUCGUAAGAUCAAAGGAGCAAUUCGCUGAAGGAGGGGGUCGCGGCUGAUUAGUUAGUUGGUGAGGUAACGGCUCACCAAGACGAAGAUCAGUAGCCGGCCUGAGAGGGCGCACGGCCACACUGGAACUGAAACACGGUCCAGACUCCUACGGGAGGCAGCAGUGGGGAAUUUUGCGCAAUGGGGGAAACCCUGACGCAGCAACGCCGCGUGGAGGAUGAAGUCCCUUGGGAUGUAAACUCCUUUCGAUCGGGACGAUUAUGACGGUACCGGAAGAAGAAGCACCGGCUAACUCUGUGCCAGCAGCCGCGGUAAUACAGAGGGUGCAAGCGUUGUUCGGAAUUAUUGGGCGUAAAGGGUGCGUAGGCGGUGCGGUAAGUCUGUAGUGAAAUCUCUGGGCUCAACUCAGAGUCUGCUAUAGAAACUGCCGUGCUUGAGUGUGGGAGAGGUGA
Molecule: ribosomal RNA, 593 nt
Filed under: uncultured soil bacterium
Lineage: Bacteria
Description: bacterial SSU rRNA
Rfam family: Bacterial small subunit ribosomal RNA
Source: RNAcentral